Molecule: ribosomal RNA, 403 nt
Filed under: uncultured microorganism
Description: bacterial SSU rRNA
Rfam family: Archaeal small subunit ribosomal RNA
Source: RNAcentral
GUGCAGCAGGCGAGAAACCUCCGCAAUACACGAAAGUGUGACGGGGCCAUCCCGAGUGCCGUCCGCUGAGGACGGCUUUUCCCCAGUGUACACAGCUGGGGGAAUAAGGAGAGGGCAAGCCUGGUGUCAGCCGCCGCGGUAAUACCAGCUCUCCGAGUGGUGGGGACGCUUAUUGGGCCUGAAGCAUCCGUAGCCGGCUGGGCAAGUCCUCCGUUAAAUCCAACGAUUCAAUCGUUGGGCUGCGGGGGAUACUGUCCAGCUUGGGGGCGGGAGAGGCCGACGGUAUUCCCGGGGUAGGGGUGAAAUCCUAUAAUCCCGGGAGGACCACCAGUGGCGAAGGCUGUCGGCUAGAACGCGCCCGACGGUGAGGGAUGAAAGCUGGGGGAGCGAACCGGAUUAGAUA